UACGUAGGGCGCAAGCGUUGUCCGGAAUUAUUGGGCGUAAAGAGCUCGUAGGCGGCCUGUUGCGUCCGCUGUGAAAUCCCGGGGCUUAACCCCGGGCUUGCAGUGGAUACGGGCAGGCUGGAGGCAGGCAGGGGAGAACGGAAUUCCCGGUGUAGCGGUGAAAUGCGCAGAUAUCGGGAGGAACACCGGUGGCGAAGGCGGUUCUCUGGGACGGUACUGACGCUGAGACGCGAAAGCGUGGGGAGCGAACAGG
RNAcentral lists this ribosomal RNA (253 nucleotides) under uncultured bacterium. Its description in RNAcentral is "partial 16S ribosomal RNA". It matches the Rfam family "Bacterial small subunit ribosomal RNA", at positions 524 to 776 of the family's 1533-position model. The record is from RNAcentral.